UAACGACUGCAUGACUGGCGGAAAACAGGAAUUACCUGUGGGGAGUGCAGUAAGUGAUAAGCCGACCGCCUGGGCAGCCUGA
RNAcentral lists this non-coding RNA (82 nucleotides) under Blautia sp. CAG:257. RNAcentral's name for it is "ZMP/ZTP riboswitch aptamer (pfl RNA motif)". It matches the Rfam family "ZMP/ZTP riboswitch aptamer (pfl RNA motif)". Rfam says of the family: Previously known as pfl RNA. Lineage: Bacteria; Bacillati; Bacillota; Clostridia; Lachnospirales; Lachnospiraceae. The record is from Rfam by way of RNAcentral. RNAcentral also lists the same sequence under 1 other name.